GGAGGGUGCAAGCGUUAAUCGGAAUUACUGGGCGUAAAGGGCACGCAGGUGGCUGAGUGAGUCGGAUGUGAAAGCCCCGGGCUUAACCUGGGAACUGCAUUCGAUACUGCUUGGCUAGAGUAUGGGAGAGGGAAGCGGAAUUCCCGGUGUAGCGGUGAAAUGCGUAGAUAUCGGGAGGAACAUCAGUGGCGAAGGCGGCUUCCUGGCCCAAUACUGACACUCAUGUGCGAAAGCGUGGGGGGAGCAAACAGGAUUAGAUACCCUGGUAGUCCACGCUGUAAACGAUGAGAACUAGAUGUCGGGGGGGAUUAACCCUUCGGUGUCGCAGCUAACGCGUUAAGUUCUCCGCCUGGGAGUACGGCCGCAAGGUUG
This 372-nucleotide ribosomal RNA is filed under the name uncultured organism. Its description in RNAcentral is "partial 16S ribosomal RNA". It matches the Rfam family "Bacterial small subunit ribosomal RNA", at positions 527 to 896 of the family's 1533-position model. The record is from RNAcentral.